RNAcentral lists this transfer RNA (65 nucleotides) under Ocellarnaca emeiensis. RNAcentral's name for it is "tRNA-Gly". Lineage: Eukaryota; Metazoa; Arthropoda; Insecta; Orthoptera; Gryllacrididae. The record is from RNAcentral.
AUUUAUUUAGUAUAUAAGUACUAUUGACUUCCAAUCAAUCAGAUUGAUAAUCAUCAAAAUAAAUA